AACAGUUUUAUUGGGGUUGAAUAAGGUCUGAGGUGAGGGAGAAAGAGAACAGUUUUAUUGGGGUUAAAUAAGAUCUGGAGGGAGAGAGAGAACAGUUUUAUUGGGGUUGAAUAAGGUCUGAGGUGAGGGAGAAAGAGAACAGUUUUAUUGGGGUUGAAUAAGGUCUGAGGUGAGGGAGAAAGAGGACAGUUGUAUUGGGGUUGAAUAAGGUCUGAGGUGAGGGAGAAAGAGAACAGUUUUAUUGCGGUUGAAUAAGGUCUGAGGUGAGGGAGAAAGAGGACAGUUGUAUUGGGGUUGAAUAAGGUCUGAGGUGAGGGAGAAAGAGAACAGUUUUAUUGGGGUUGAAUAAGGUCUGAGGUGAGGGAGAAAGAGAACAGUUUUAUUGGGGUUAAAUAAGGUCUGAGGUGAGGGAGAAAGAGAACAGUUGUAUUGGGGUUGAAUAAGGUCUGAGGGAGAAAGAGACCAGUUUUAUUGGGGUUAAAUAAGGUCUGAGGUGAGGGAGAACAGUUGUAUUGGGGUUGAAUAAGGUCUGAGGUGAGGGAGAAAGAGACCAGUUGUAUUGGGGUUGAAUAAGGUCUGAGGUGAGGGAGAAAGAGACCAGUUGUAUUGGGGUUAAAUAUGAUCUGAGGGAGAAAGAGAACAGUUG
Molecule: long non-coding RNA, 646 nt
Organism: Oncorhynchus keta (chum salmon)
Lineage: Eukaryota; Metazoa; Chordata; Actinopteri; Salmoniformes; Salmonidae
Exons: 3
Source: RefSeq, a predicted model, not a curated record